CCCGCAAGGGGGACACCGGCGAACGGGGUAGGAUCACGUAGGUGACGUACCCCCAGGGCGAGGAUAGCCACGGGAAACUGUGGGUAAUACUCGAUAACCUUCCCGAUCAUGAUCGGCUGGGAAGCAAUGGGUGUGAUUCCACCUGGGGAGCGGCUUACGCAGUAUCAGCUAGUUGGUGAGGUAACGGCUCACCAAGGCUUUGACGCUUAGGGGGUGUGAGAGCAUGGCCCCCACCACUGGCACUGAGACACUGGCCAGACACCUACGGGUGGCUGCAGUCGAGAAUCUUCGGCAAUGGACGAAAGUCUGACCGAGCGACGCCGCGUGCGGGAUGAAGGUCUUCGGAUUGUAAACCGCUGUCAGAGGGGAUGAAGUAUACGAGAGCUAUCUCUUGUAUUUGACAGAGCCUCAGAGGAAGCACGGGCUAAGUUCGUGCCAGCAGCCGCGGUAAUACGAACUGUGCGAACGUUAUUCGGAAUCACUGGGCUUAAAGGGUGCGUAGGCGGUUAUCUAAGUCACGUGUGAAAUCUUCCGGCUCAACCGGAAAACUGCGCGUGAUACUGGAUGACUUGAGUGAGGUAGGGGUGUGUGGAACUUCCGGUGGAGCGGUGAAAUGUGUAGAGAUCGGAAGGAACGCCAGCAGCGAAAGCGGCACACUGGGCCUUUUCUGACGCUGAGGCACGAAAGCUAGGGGAGUGAACGGGAUUAGAUACCCCGGUAAUCCUAGCCGUAAACACUGAACACUGGAGGAAGGGGGUUUCGGCCUUCUUUCUCGUAGCGAAAGCGUUAAGUGUUCCGCCUGGGGAGUAUGGUCGCAAGGCUGAAACUC
Molecule: ribosomal RNA, 829 nt
Filed under: uncultured Planctomycetia bacterium
Lineage: Bacteria; Pseudomonadati; Planctomycetota; Planctomycetia
Description: bacterial SSU rRNA
Rfam family: Bacterial small subunit ribosomal RNA
Source: RNAcentral